Molecule: ribosomal RNA, 460 nt
Filed under: uncultured bacterium
Lineage: Bacteria
Description: partial 16S ribosomal RNA
Rfam family: Bacterial small subunit ribosomal RNA
Source: RNAcentral
CCUACGGGAGGCUGCAGUGAGGAAUAUUGGUCAAUGGGCGGAAGCCUGAACCAGCCAAGUAGCGUGCAGGAUGACGGCCCUACGGGUUGUAAACUGCUUUUAUACGGGAAUAACGCGCCUUACGUGUAGGGCUUUGCAUGUACCGUAUGAAUAAGGAUCGGCUAAUUCCGUGCCAGCAGCCGCGGUAAUACGGAAGGUCCGGGCGUUAUCCGGAUUUAUUGGGUUUAAAGGGUGCGUAGGCCGCAUGUCAAGCGUGCUGUGAAAGGGCCGGGCUCAACCCGGGCCUUGCAGCUAGAACUGUCGGGCUUGAGUCCGCGCAAAGCAGGCGGAAUUCGUGGUGUAGCGGUGAAAUGCAUAGAUAUGACGAAGAACCCCGAUUGCGAAGGCAGCUUGCUGCAGCGGAACUGACGCUGAUGCACGAAAGCGCGGGUAUCGAACAGGAUUAGAUACCCUAGUAGUC